Molecule: ribosomal RNA, 390 nt
Filed under: uncultured bacterium
Lineage: Bacteria
Description: bacterial SSU rRNA
Rfam family: Bacterial small subunit ribosomal RNA
Source: RNAcentral
GACGAACGCUGGCGGCGUGCUUAACACAUGCAAGUCGAACGGUAAGGCCCUUCGGGGUACACGAGUGGCGAACGGGUGAGUAACACGUGGGUGAUCUGCCCUGCACUUCGGGAUAAGCCUGGGAAACUGGGUCUAAUACCGGAUAGGACUCCUGGCUUCAUGGUUGGGGGUGUAAAGCUUUUGCGGUGUGGGAUGGGCCCGCGGCCUAUCAGCUUGUUGGUGGGGUAAUGGCCUACCAAGGCGACGACGGGUAGCCGGCCUGAGAGGGUGACCGGCCACACUGGGACUGAGAUACGGCCCAGACUCCUACGGGAGGCAGCAGUGGGGAAUAUUGCACAAUGGGCGCAAGCCUGAUGCAGCGACGCCGCGUGAGGGAUGACGGCCUCGGUU